This 230-nucleotide unclassified non-coding RNA is filed under the name Hevea brasiliensis (rubber tree). Lineage: Eukaryota; Viridiplantae; Streptophyta; Magnoliopsida; Malpighiales; Euphorbiaceae. The record is from RNAcentral.
AGCGCGAACGCCACCCCCCUGCUUUCAAAGGCCUUGGGAAUGGAUGUGGACAGCAGCAGGCCGGCGAUCAUCAGACCGAAAAGCAUCACCCGGAUGGGCGUGCGCUCCGGGUCGAGCCAGUUGGUGAUCCAGGAUGUGUAGAUCCAGACCCACCAGACCGCCAGAAACAGGAUCGCGGUUUGCAGAACGCCGAGCGGCGUGAAAUGCGCCAGCAGCGUGUGGGAAAUCUG